UGAUUAAAUUAUGAAAGAUAUAACCUAAUUGGUAGAUUAAUCUGCUGAUCUAUUAACUGGGCAGUGACUGUAAGAAGAUAGGGUAGGCUUAAGGAAGUAGGUCACUGGGGAUAUGACUUUGGGGUUUACCUUUUGCUCCUGUGAGUGGAGCACUCUCUCUGCUUCCUGGUUGCCAUAUCCUGAGCCGCUUUCCUCCAUGACACCCUUCUGCCAUGAUGUUCUGCCUCACCUUAGGCCCAGAGCUAUGGAGUUGGCUAAACAAGGACUGAACCUCUGAAACUGUGAGCCAAAAUAAAUUUUUCCUCCUCUACAUUUUUCUUGUCAGGUCUUUUGGUUACAGCAAUGAAAAAGCUGACUAAAACAGUAUUCUUCCAGAAAUAUUCAUAGUGGUCAUUACAUAAAUAUUAGUUUCUUUCUGUUCCCUUUUGAAUACCACAGCACCUAGUAGAGAGCUGAGUCCUUUGCAAGGGUCAAGAUGUGAUUGCACAUUACUGUCUAAAACUUUACAUGGGAAUAAAUAGUACAGAAAAUUAGCCUGGAUGGGAUAAUGCCAGAUAAUGCUGGGUACUUCAGGGGAAAAAUGUUUGUCAGUCCAUCUUUAUGUAAUGGACUUUUUUUUUUUUUGGCAUAAGAGCUAAGUACAGAAAUUUUUCAAUUAACAGGGCUCAUUACUUGGGUGCAAGUGAAUAUAAGUUUUACUAUUACCACAACUUCUUCAAAUGUGCUGAAACAGGAAAUGCAAACUUCACUUACCCCAACUGAAAAGCUAACCAAGCAGAGGAAAUCAAACUCAUAAUGUGGCUGAUAGUGUCAACUGCUAUACAUACGCAGAUAGAGGAAACCUGUAUUGACAUAAUAAUAAUAAUAAAUAUGUAAAGAAAGCUCAUGGUUUACCAAUAAAAUCAUUUACCAUGUUGCUGACUUUACUGGAAAAUGAUGCUUUAUUACAAGUCUCUCAAUUUGAUUGAUACCUAAUUAAAAAUUCACUAGGCUCAACUUCAAGUACCUCAAGCUAUAUUAAAGUCACUGCUAUACCAAUGGAGGCAUAAUAUCAUUUAAAACCAAAGCAAGUAUGAUCAUUUAUUUAAAACUUAGAAAUAGUUCUGAAAAUUGCAAAGUUGCAUAAAAUCUGU
Molecule: long non-coding RNA, 1133 nt
Filed under: Marmota monax (woodchuck)
Lineage: Eukaryota; Metazoa; Chordata; Mammalia; Rodentia; Sciuridae
Source: RNAcentral